Molecule: ribosomal RNA, 251 nt
Filed under: uncultured Eubacteriales bacterium
Lineage: Bacteria; Bacillati; Bacillota; Clostridia; Eubacteriales
Description: uncultured Clostridiales bacterium partial 16S ribosomal RNA
Rfam family: Bacterial small subunit ribosomal RNA
Source: RNAcentral
AAAGCGAGUGGCGAACGGGUGAGUAAUGUAUGAGUAACCUGCCUCUGUCUACGGGAUAACAUUUGGAAACAAGUGCUAAUACGGUAUAAGACCACAGCACCGCAUGGUGCAGGGGUAAAAGAUUUAUCGGACAGAGAUGGACUCAUAUCCCAUUAGCUAGUUGGUGAGAUAAUAGCCCACCAAGGCGACGAUGGGUAGCCGAGCUGAGAGGCUGAUCGGCCACAUUGGAACUGAAACACGGUCCAGACUCC